This 664-nucleotide ribosomal RNA is filed under the name Lactobacillus gasseri. RNAcentral describes it as "bacterial SSU rRNA". It matches the Rfam family "Bacterial small subunit ribosomal RNA", at positions 61 to 685 of the family's 1533-position model. The record is from RNAcentral. Lineage: Bacteria; Bacillati; Bacillota; Bacilli; Lactobacillales; Lactobacillaceae.
GUCGAGCGAGCUUGCCUAGAUGAUUUUAGUGCUUGCACUAAAUGAAACUAGAUACAAGCGAGCGGCGGACGGGUGAGUAACACGUGGGUAACCUGCCCAAGAGACUGGGAUAACACCUGGAAACAGAUGCUAAUACCGGAUAACAACACUAGACGCAUGUCUAGAGUUUGAAAGAUGGUUCUGCUAUCACUCUUGGAUGGACCUGCGGUGCAUUAGCUAGUUGGUAAGGUAACGGCUUACCAAGGCAAUGAUGCAUAGCCGAGUUGAGAGACUGAUCGGCCACAUUGGGACUGAGACACGGCCCAAACUCCUACGGGAGGCAGCAGUAGGGAAUCUUCCACAAUGGACGAAAGUCUGAUGGAGCAACGCCGCGUGAGUGAAGAAGGGUUUCGGCUCGUAAAGCUCUGUUGGUAGUGAAGAAAAAUAGAGGUAGUAACUGGCCUUUAUUUGACGGUAAUUACUUAGAAAGUCACGGCUAACUACGUGCCAGCAGCCGCGGUAAUACGUAGGUGGCAAGCGUUGUCCGGAUUUAUUGGGCGUAAAGCGAGUGCAGGCGGUUCAAUAAGUCUGAUGUGAAAGCCUUCGGCUCAACCGGAGAAUUGCAUCAGAAACUGUUGAACUUGAGUGCAGAAGAGGAGAGUGGAACUCCAUGUGUAGCGGUGGA